ACGAAAUGAACAGUAAAUGCACAAUGAACAGUACAAGGGUUCUUCACCGCAUAAAAAAACACCGGCGGUAGAAAGAGAAAGACAGAGAGUGCACGACGGAGGGAGAGAGAGAGAGAGCGCGCGACGGAGGCAGAGAGGCCCGGCGGUCAUGGAGGAACCGGCUAUGGUCUCCGGCCGAUGGUAAUGUUGUCGAUCGUCGCUGAAUGGGGAACUUGACGGCCUGGGGUUCUAGGGUUCCGGCGGCAGUGCCGGAACCGACCUGCAUCUGCCGCUCACUACCAUCAGUAGGUUACACACAUGUCAGCGCCCGCUUCCCGCUUAUAGGCUUAAUACCACCGAUAACCACCGCCCUGCCCCCAAACGCGAGAAAGGGGUGUCAAUGGUGUUCUUUGUGGUUUGAAAGGGGGGAUCGGGGUGGCUAUGGUGGCAAUAGCGUGCGACGAGUACUAUAAUUGUGGCCAGAGAAAGAGACUGUGCUGCUCCACCGGCUUCACCGCGACCUCCAUCACCAUCGCCACGGCUGCCAUAUCUCCGACUGCAACCUUGACGGUGGUGUUGCUACAUGAGUAAUGGCAACGAAGAUUGAGGGUUUUUAGGGAGAGUAGGUCGACGGCUAAAUCGAUGAACCCUAAAUCGAUAGUAGGUCUCAUCUCACUAAAUUUCGAUUUGCUUGCUGUUCUUCAAUCAAUCACCGAUAGGAACUCUUCACAGUUGUUUUUUGCCCAGAGCUCUUAAAUUCCCCUGCAACUUUUAGAGGUAUAGCGAAGAGAAGGACCAUUAAGAAGGACAACUAAAGCUCAAAUGGGGUUACUUUUUUUAAUCACUGAAGACUAUUUAUGUGCAAUUGGUUUUAGGGCUCCGCCGGUCAACUUUCAGCCACCACUGUUAUCUGUAUCUUCUUUUUGAUGUGAUGAUUUCGAUCUAUUUAAUCGGUUGAAUAUGUUUUUAACGUGUACUUGGAUUUUGCUCUAGGAUUGAAGGAGCAUAUAGGAUGAUUUUGGAGAUUAAGGGUUUGGACGACAGUUUCAAGGAUAUCUAACUCAGAAAGAAACAGAGGUAAAGCUUCCCCGACCAACUAGGUUAAGAACAAAACCCCAGCCCCGAUACAAAUCACUACCUAACAGAGUCUGCUUGAAGCGAGGGAAUGCCAAGAAGCUGAAACCCGACCAACAAAACUGAUUAUCACCGCUUAUUAGGAGAGUAAGGUGGAACAAAAGUGUGUGGAUGAAGUAUGCUAAGAAGGAUUUCAAUUGUGCUAGGAGUGUUUGGGAGCGUGCACUUGAUGUCAAUUGAAGCAACUAAAGGGUGGUGUUACAGCAUGUCCAAGAUGUGGUCAAUACCAAAGGUCGAUAUUGAGUGGAUUUGUACAGGUACCGAAUCAUUGCGACAAUCUCGGACAGCACGGGAAGCAUCUCAACAAUUAUUUUCGACGGUGCAGGGAGACAGCUGUUAGCAUGACAUGCGAUGAGUUGGCUGCGACUGAGGACCCCAUGAAAAAGUUGUACUCAGUUAUGGAAAAGGAAGCAUUCAUGAUUAUCCAGCUGCUAUACGACAAGAAAAUGCGCACAUUGAAAUCUGUUGUCAACAAAGCAGCGCAAUGUGCCAGCUUUGUCAAAAUGUAGUCAAUGGUCGUAUGCUAUAUGCUGGUAAUGUAUGCCUGAACGUACCAUAUUUUGUACGCUACGUCUGUUAAUAGCAGUGUCAUAACUUGAUAACAGUUACUUAUGAA
RNA transcript from Helianthus annuus (common sunflower), 1729 nucleotides. RefSeq lists it as uncharacterized. Lineage: Eukaryota; Viridiplantae; Streptophyta; Magnoliopsida; Asterales; Asteraceae. The transcript is spliced from 4 exons. The record is from RefSeq and is a predicted model, not a curated record.